Brassica oleracea var. oleracea is the source of this 468-nucleotide long non-coding RNA. RefSeq lists it as uncharacterized. The record is from RefSeq and is a predicted model, not a curated record. NCBI's taxonomy places the organism in Eukaryota, Viridiplantae, Streptophyta, Magnoliopsida, Brassicales, Brassicaceae. The transcript is spliced from 3 exons.
AGAGAGAGAAUAGACGUUAAGGUGAAUAUCAGACCUGAGCUAAGGUUCAUAAAUCAAAUGAAACAUAGCUUUCUUAUCCUUUUUGAGUCAUGGUGGAUGAGAAUGAAGUUAGCUGGGGAGACUCACCCGUUUAUAUUCAGUCCCCAAUGGAGGGAAUGGAGGACAUCUUGACCAGCCAAGUCAUCUGCACUACAUUUUCAUCUUCCUAUCUUGAGAUUCUCUACAUAUGUAUGCUGAUGGAGUUUGCCAUCUUUGGCAAUCAUGCAACAGUGUAUUUGCCGAUAUAAUGAUUUGGUUUUCUAGACGAAGAAGAUUUCCUUCUGGUGUUUGGUCUGAGAGGGAACACUGCACACUAUGGAAACAAAAUCCUCAACACGAAUAUUGCUUUGAAGGUAGAAGCAAUACAACAUCUAAUAGUCUACUUGAAUAUCAUAAUAUUCUGAAGAAGAUACUAUUUCUAAUGGUUCC